RNAcentral lists this ribosomal RNA (241 nucleotides) under uncultured Actinomycetales bacterium. Its description in RNAcentral is "partial 16S ribosomal RNA". It matches the Rfam family "Bacterial small subunit ribosomal RNA", at positions 89 to 334 of the family's 1533-position model. Lineage: Bacteria; Bacillati; Actinomycetota; Actinomycetes; Actinomycetales. The record is from RNAcentral.
ACUCGAGUGGCGAACGGGUGAGUAACACGUGGGUGAUCUGCCCUGCACUUCGGGAUAAGCCUGGGAAACUGGGUCUAAUACCGGAUAGGAGCCAUUUUUAGUGUGGUGGUUGGAAAGUUUUUCGGUGUAGGAUGAGCUCGCGGCCUAUCAGCUUGUUGGUGGGGUAAUGGCCUACCAAGGCGGCGACGGGUAGCCGGCCUGAGAGGGUGGACGGCCACAUUGGGACUGAGAUACGGCCCAG